AUUAUGAUACUAUAAGCUCAGAAAUUAAGUUGAUCAAACAAUUCGAUCUGUGCUAUAAACAUUUAAAUGAACCUACAGAAUAGGCUAUCAAAAUAGAAUCAUCUGAAUGAUCUUUCUUGGACAUACAUUUUGAAGUGACCCUUCGAAUUAAAAAGGUUCCUCAGCUGCUUUUGAGGAAAAACAUCAAUGUGCUUGGCCACUCUGGUUUUUAAAUGGUAUUCUGAACUAAAGCAAGGAUUGUUCAAGGACGUUGAAAAUAGACCGUCUCUGGUUAAAUUAGUUCUACACCAAGCCUUUAGGUGGCAGUAAAACUAAUUGGCACAAUGCGAAUUCCACACACAAGCCACAAAGAAGCCAUCAGCCGCGGUCAACAACACCUUCCUGACUGAACAGAACCACGCGCUGUCUGUGUGGUUUACAAGUUUCUUGGCGAUAUGGGGGAAAAGUUCCUCACAUACCAACGGAAAAUGGGCUUCAUAUACAUGCUGCUGUCUCAUAAUAUGGCGAAGACGAGUCACCUGAAGGCCUAACUCGCCAUAGAAGACUGAAAGAAUUGUCCUGCAGGAUGCUGUGUCCUGCAAUCCUGUGUGCUGUGCUACAGACGCGUGUGGAGGUCAACCCAAAAUGGACACAGUCUCACCACAGAAGAGUGAAAGAGGAUCCUGGCAGGGAGACGGUAGUGUCCUGUAGAAUGGUGAUGGGCCAAUCUUACAAGAGACCACAGAAAACUGAUAUAGUGAACUAUAGAAACAACAGUGCCUGCUGCAGUAUAACGAGGACACCCUGAGCAGAGAGCUCCAAUAGACCCAGGUCCAGUGUCUUGGCAGGGUGAAAUGGCACUGAUAUGGUGUCCUGCAGGAUGCUGUGUCCUGCAAUCCUGUGUGCUGUGCUACAGACGCGUGUGGAGGUCAACCCAAAAUGGGCACAGUCUCACCACAGAAGAGUGAAAGAGGCUCCCAGAAGUGAGACUGAGUGCCUGUUGCAGUAUGACGAGGACGCAGUGACCAGAGACCUUCAGUAGACCCUGCUGGCAUGAUUGGCGGCUGAAGAACAUGAAAUCAACAGCAAUGUUUAUAAUGUUGUACAUACCUGUAUAGUCUGUAUUAAAAGGCAGUACCUGUAGUAUUUUUCCUCUUACUUUCAUAUUUACCACAUAUUUACUAUGAAUUGACAACUUUUACUAAAAUCCAUUUUUGUAUGUGCCCUGACUAAAACUAUCCUUAAACCUAACCUGUCAGAGAUGUAACAACAACCUGCUCUUAGCAAUGUGGCAGCAGUCUACUUGGAUGCAGCGGGGAACAUAGAACCCUUUUUUGAAAAAGCAUUGUAUGUUUCUGAGUUUUAUGAAUUGUGCCCUUCCCAAACAUCAUGCAUAGGCUAAGCGUAUCUAUGACACGCUGAUUUGAACUCACUAUCGCGUGUGUCCAAUACGCAUUUUCAAGUUAAGUCGUGCUCCACAACGCCCUGUGACAGGUUAGGUUUAGGGAUGGUUUUGGUUUAGGCACAAUUUAGGUAGAAAUUCGCCUAAUCUCGCUGUUCUUGGCAAAAGUAAAGCAGCAGAAACAUUACUUCACUGACAGGUUAGGUUUAGGGGUGGUUUUGGUUAGGGCACAGCAAAACAUAUUUGCGUUUAGUAACAGAAAUGCGCUGUGACAAAACAAAAUCGCCGACACGGCGGGAAAACUGUGCAAACCUCGUCACUAGUCAAAAGUGCAUGAAAGCGCUUUACCGUUGCGUUGAGGAGCACGCUUUGAAUUCAAAAUGCGUCGCACCAUGCACUAGCAUGCGAUACGUACGCUAAGCAUGAUGACAGCCUGCCCAAACUUAACCUGUCGGUAAUGAAAUGUUUCCUAGUUGUACAUUUGUGACCUGAGUGCUGUGUACAUCACUGCAUAUAGAGUAUAUUGUUUGCAGGGUAUGUGUGUAGUUGCAUGGUUCUUGUCAAAGUGUGUGUACAUUGUUUGGUGUGAUAUUAAAAGCGUUUUUUAAAAAAUCAUU
This is a long non-coding RNA of Engraulis encrasicolus (European anchovy), 1998 nucleotides long. RefSeq lists it as uncharacterized. The record is from RefSeq and is a predicted model, not a curated record. Lineage: Eukaryota; Metazoa; Chordata; Actinopteri; Clupeiformes; Engraulidae. The transcript has 7 exons.